This 234-nucleotide ribosomal RNA is filed under the name Triticum aestivum (bread wheat). Its description in RNAcentral is "partial small subunit ribosomal RNA". Lineage: Eukaryota; Viridiplantae; Streptophyta; Magnoliopsida; Poales; Poaceae. The record is from RNAcentral.
AUGCAAGACUAAUUCACGGACAAUCCAACAUAUCUGCCUCACCUCUUCCGGAGAAGGUACUGAAUGCGCCAAUCUCUCUUUGUAAAAAUAGUUCAAGCUUGCGAAGCCAAUUGUCGGUAUUUUACUCAAAGAAGAAAUGUCGCGGGGUUGAAGGGAGUUAGUGCAUAUCAAAAAAUCUCGGCAACUAUGCGAGUAAUUGCAUACGGCAUUCUGGAUGACUAUGCCCAUGAGUAG